GCGGAUGUGGUGGAAUUGGUAGACACGCACGUCUAAGGAGCGUGUGGCUUCGGCCUUGCGAGUUCAAGUCUCGCCAUCCGCAUCA
RNAcentral lists this transfer RNA (85 nucleotides) under Synechococcus sp. WH 8020. RNAcentral's name for it is "tRNA-Leu". It matches the Rfam family "tRNA". From Rfam's summary of the family: Transfer RNA (tRNA) molecules are approximately 80 nucleotides in length. Their secondary structure includes four short double-helical elements and three loops (D, anti-codon, and T loops). RNAcentral also lists the same sequence under 2 other names. The record is from RNAcentral. Lineage: Bacteria; Bacillati; Cyanobacteriota; Cyanophyceae; Synechococcales; Synechococcaceae.